AUUGAACGCUGGCGGCAGGCCUAACACAUGCAAGUCGAGCGGAUGAAGGGAGCUUGCUCCUGGAUUCAGCGGCGGACGGGUGAGUAAUUCCUAGGAAUCUGCCUGGUAGUGGGGGAUAACGUCCGUAAACGGGCGCUAAUACCGCAUACGUCCUGAGGGAGAAAGUGGGGGAUCUUCGGACCUCACGCUAUCAGAUGAGCCUAGGUCGGAUUAGCUAGUUGGUGGGGUAAAGGCCUACCAAGGCGACGAUCCGUAACUGGUCUGAGAGGAUGAUCAGUCACACUGGAACUGAGACACGGUCCAGACUCCUACGGGAGGCAGCAGUGGGGAAUAUUGGACAAUGGGCGAAAGCCUGAUCCAGCCAGGCCGCGUGGGUGAAGAAGGUCUUCGGAUUGUAAAGCACUUUAAGUGGGGAGGAAGGGCAGUAAGUUAAUACCUUGCUGUUUUGACGUUACCAAAAGAAUAAGCACCGGCUAACUUCGUG
RNAcentral lists this ribosomal RNA (484 nucleotides) under uncultured bacterium. Its description in RNAcentral is "partial 16S ribosomal RNA". It matches the Rfam family "Bacterial small subunit ribosomal RNA", at positions 30 to 507 of the family's 1533-position model. The record is from RNAcentral.